UGGUAACUGUUCUCUAAUAUAACUCGUGCCAAUAAAAGAAACUAAUCGAAAAGAAUGGUGUUAAUCAUUCGCUCUCGCUUACACACACA
Maniola jurtina (meadow brown) is the source of this 89-nucleotide long non-coding RNA. RefSeq lists it as uncharacterized. The record is from RefSeq and is a predicted model, not a curated record. The transcript has 3 exons. NCBI's taxonomy places the organism in Eukaryota, Metazoa, Arthropoda, Insecta, Lepidoptera, Nymphalidae.